This 254-nucleotide ribosomal RNA is filed under the name uncultured bacterium. RNAcentral describes it as "partial 16S ribosomal RNA". It matches the Rfam family "Bacterial small subunit ribosomal RNA", at positions 524 to 776 of the family's 1533-position model. The record is from RNAcentral.
GACGGAGGAUGCAAGCGUUAUCCGGAAUGAUUGGGCGUAAAGCGUCCGCAGGUGGCAAUUCAAGUCUGCUGUUAAAGCGCAGGGCUUAACCCUGUAAAGGCAGUGGAAACUGAAUAGCUAGAGUAUGGUAGGGGUAGAGGGAAUUCCCAGUGUAGCGGUGAAAUGCGUAGAUAUUGGGAAGAACAUCGGUGGCGAAGGCGCUCUGCUGGACCAUUACUGACACUCACAGGACGAAAGCUAGGGGAGCGAAUGGG